UACGGAGGGGGCAAGCGUUGUUCGGAAUUACUGGGCGUAAAGAGCUCGUAGGCGGCCAACUAAGUCGGAUGUGAAAUCCCCAGGCUCAACUUGGGAACUGCAUCCGAUACUGGAUGGCUUGAAUUCGGGAGAGGGAUGCAGAAUUCCAGGUGUAGCGGUGAAAUGCGUAGAUAUCUGGAGGAAUACCGGUGGCGAAGGCGGCAUCCUGGACCGACAUUGACGCUGAGGAGCGAAAGCUAGGGGAGCAAACGGG
This 253-nucleotide ribosomal RNA is filed under the name uncultured bacterium. RNAcentral describes it as "partial 16S ribosomal RNA". It matches the Rfam family "Bacterial small subunit ribosomal RNA", at positions 524 to 776 of the family's 1533-position model. The record is from RNAcentral.